AAUAAACAUAUUACCAUUACAAUCCAACAUCUUCAGUGUAUACCAGCAUAUUGCAUGAUUUGCUAUACGAAAGAUAAGGAAUACAGAAAACGAAAUACACCCUUCAAGGAAAUCAUUGGUCAAAAUAUCAUACAGCCCUGAUGGAGGCUGGCACAGACUCAAAACAUUGACCUGCAAUUCUAUACCUACAAAGAACACCCAAGAAGGGUUCAUUACAUAAAAUUCAACUUAUGGAAGGGUCUGCAGAACUGAACCCUUUUAUAUACAAGAAAAGACCAAGCAUUGUAUAUCAAACAAACAUCUGUUAGAUUGCAGGGAAAUCACAGGAGCUUCAACAAUGUUUUAAUGGUAAACACUAACUAGGUACUAUUAUUAUACAUGUACUAAUGAAUUUCUUAAAAUUAGUGAGAUUUGUAUAAAUAUUGUACAUGACAUCUAAUAGCUGCAUUUAAAUGUGUUUGAAUAACUAAAAAAUUGCA
This is a non-coding RNA of Zootermopsis nevadensis, 479 nucleotides long. Lineage: Eukaryota; Metazoa; Arthropoda; Insecta; Blattodea; Termopsidae. The record is from RefSeq and is a predicted model, not a curated record.